ACCUCGGUAGUGUAAUGGAUCAGCACGGUAGACCGAAUAUCUGUAAGUGUGGGUUCAAGUCCCACUCUAAAUU
Molecule: transfer RNA, 73 nt
Filed under: Dictyocaulus viviparus (bovine lungworm)
Lineage: Eukaryota; Metazoa; Nematoda; Chromadorea; Rhabditida; Metastrongylidae
Rfam family: tRNA
About the family: Transfer RNA (tRNA) molecules are approximately 80 nucleotides in length. Their secondary structure includes four short double-helical elements and three loops (D, anti-codon, and T loops). Further hydrogen bonds mediate the characteristic L-shaped molecular structure. tRNAs have two regions of fundamental functional importance: the anti-codon, which is responsible for specific mRNA codon recognition, and the 3' end, to which the tRNAs corresponding amino acid is attached (by aminoacyl-tRNA synthetases). tRNAs cope with the degeneracy of the genetic code in two manners: having more than one tRNA (with a specific anti-codon) for a particular amino acid; and 'wobble' base-pairing, i.e. permitting non-standard base-pairing at the 3rd anti-codon position.
Source: Rfam by way of RNAcentral